GACGAACGCUGGCGGCGUGCUUAACACAUGCAAGUCGAACGGAAAGGCCCUGCUUUUGUGGGGUGCUCGAGUGGCGAACGGGUGAGUAACACGUGAGUAACCUGCCCUUGACUUUGGGAUAACUUCAGGAAACUGGGGCUAAUACCGGAUAGGAGCUCCUGCUGCAUGGUGGGGGUUGGAAAGUUUCGGCGGUUGGGGAUGGACUCGCGGCUUAUCAGCUUGUUGGUGGGGUAGUGGCUUACCAAGGCUUUGACGGGUAGCUGGCCUGAGAGGGUGACCGGCCACAUUGGGACUGAGAUACGGCCCAGACUCCUACGGGAGGCAGCAGUGGGGAAUAUUGCACAAUGGGCGGAAGCCUGAUGCGGCAACGCCGCGUGCGGGAUGACGGCCUUCGGGUUGUAAACCGCUUUCGCCUGUGACGAAGCGUGAGUGACGGUAAUGGGUAAAGAAGCACCGGCUAACUACGUG
This 468-nucleotide ribosomal RNA is filed under the name uncultured bacterium. Its description in RNAcentral is "partial 16S ribosomal RNA". It matches the Rfam family "Bacterial small subunit ribosomal RNA", at positions 28 to 507 of the family's 1533-position model. The record is from RNAcentral.